GUCUAUGGCCAUACUACCCUGAACAUGCCCGAUCUCGUCAGCUAAGCAGGGUUGGGCCUGGUUAGUACUUGGAUAGGAGAAUGUCAAUCAGAUC
This 94-nucleotide ribosomal RNA is filed under the name Capra hircus (goat). Lineage: Eukaryota; Metazoa; Chordata; Mammalia; Artiodactyla; Bovidae. The record is from RNAcentral.